Molecule: non-coding RNA, 29 nt
Filed under: Rattus norvegicus (Norway rat)
Lineage: Eukaryota; Metazoa; Chordata; Mammalia; Rodentia; Muridae
Source: RNAcentral
UCUUGAAAGCCCUCGGGUGGUCACUGUUG